RNAcentral lists this long non-coding RNA (2461 nucleotides) under Panax ginseng (ginseng). Its description in RNAcentral is "long non-coding RNA (PGIN_LNC009311)". Lineage: Eukaryota; Viridiplantae; Streptophyta; Magnoliopsida; Apiales; Araliaceae. The record is from RNAcentral.
GGGGUAAUGCCUAUUAUACCCUAACCUUUGGUUUGCCUAUAAAGGAGCUAAAUCAAGAAUACUAGGAAUCCUUUGUCCAUUCCAUUUAUUUUCGUAAGAGAGAAAAGGGAGAGGAAAAAGAGCAAGAGUGAAUAGAGAGAGAGAGAGAGAGAAUGAAAGAGCACGGGCAGAAGAAUGAAGGAAAAGAGGAUCAAGGUCAUCAUCUUUAAUCACCUAGAAAAGAACUAUAAGAGUAUGCCAUAUAACCCUAACUUCUACUUCAUCAUUUAAUGUCUUCUACUAUGCUUAGUUGUUAGUGGUUAUUGAUAUUUUUAUGGAAGAUCAUGAAGGAUCUUGGAGAAAUAAGGAUGUGUGUAGUUUAAAUGUCUUAAACUACUUGUUUAUAUGCAUAAAAAGUGAAAACGAGAGUUAAGAACGUACGCUCAAGCGACUUUAAUUUGGACUCAUAAAAAAAGUUGUUUGUGUAUUGUUUAUAAAAUCCAGAAAGAAGAAAUUUAGUUAAGGAAGUUAUGGAAAAGCUCCAAGUGGAACGAAGAUGCCAUAAUGAAGUUAUGGAGAAAUUUUUCGUAAAAGACGUUAAGUGAUGAAAACUCUUGUUUGGUACGAAUUUCGUGCUAAGUUUGCGGAUAAUAAACACUUCCGGAAGAUUCCAAUUUUUUUAGGGGUUUUAGAGUUCAUGGAAAAAUAUGAACCGCAGGCUCGACAACGAGCUUAAUCCGACUUCGGAUGAUUGACUUCUGAUGAUUUGAAAUUUUAAUGUUAAAACAAUUUUUUGACCAAAGAAAUGAGGUUAUGAAGGAAUUUUGUGUCAAUUUUUAGGCUUGUUAGAUAAUCGGAAAAGUUAUUCCGUUUGGGGUACUUGGAGUAUGUUAUACGAGCUUUAAUAUGGCUCAAGAAUGGACUCAUUCCGAUAACGAAGGGUCAAGCUAUGGCGUUGUAAAGUGGGUACGUCCUUAAGGAAAAAACAACAUGUUUCAUUUUUUUCAUCCAGAGAGUUUAAAGCUAGAGUAGACAAUCUACGCGAGUAAAUUAACCUGUCUGGAUUGUCAUACAGGGAGUUUAAAUCUAAAGCAGACACUCCGCUUCGCUAGUUUAACCUGUCAGGAUUGGCAUAUAGGGGUUUUUGAACUAAAGCAGAUAGUUCAAACUGUCUGCUUUGUACCAGUAACGUAAGAUACAAAAUAAAAGUUGGGCCCAUUGAUUAAAUCAUCAAAAAAGAACACUAAGAACUAAGAAUCUAAAGUUAAUGUAAGCCGUAAUUAGCAUCAACAUAUGUCUAAUUGGUAUAUGUAUAUGAACUUAAAUGUGUAGGAUAUUUUGAAGGACGUUUUAGAGUAUAAAGUAAAGAAUGCAUUAGGCAAGUAUUCUAACUCUUUUUAACUUUCGUUUGAAUGUCAGUUUUUGAGAAUAUAUUCUUAUGAAUAAUCAUUAUGUAUGCUUCGGUUUACACACUAUUUAUCGAUUGUGCAACCUUUAGACUAAUUCAAACUCUCUGUUAGUUGUAUAAGUGUUCAACUAUGUUAUAAUGCAUAAAUUGUUUAAACUUUGCUUUGACAUAAAUUUUUCAAGUUUUAAAGUUCGAUAUUACAUGAAUUGUUCGAGAUAUACGUUAAUGCCAUUUGUCCCGACUUGACGAAGAUUUAAAUAUUUUAUCGGUUUAAAAAUAAAUCUUUGAAAUACUAUUGAUGUUAGAUGGAGCUAUGCAACCCGAAUUGUUUUGGUACGGUUUAGGAUUCAAAAAUCUAAGAUGAACAACCUUAAUAUUGGGGUAUUUUACGUCGGAAAAAUCCCGACAAUCCCCUGAGUUGGUCAAACAAACGCAUAUAGUCGUUUAGUCAGAAUGUUGUAUAACAUAGGGUACAAUGGGCUGAUCACCCAAUGUGCUCGUGAGUCAGAUGGUUCAUUGUUGAAUUACUAACGAACCUUUGUGAAAAAUAGAAAAGUUCAAGGUCUUUUGACCACUCAGUAAAUCGUUUCAAAAUGUUAAAUGAAAAGGAAUUUAUUAUUAUUAUUAUUAUUAUUAUUAUUAUUAUUAUUAUUAUUAUUAUUAUUAUUAUUAUUAUUAUUAUUAUUCCUAUUUAUUCGAAAUUCUUUCACAACAAUUAUUUAGUUGUAGAAAUAGUAACAUGAUUCUUGAUUUUAUUGUUUAUUCAACUGUUUAUACUUGUUUUUCUUUGUAGCAAAAGCAGAUUGAAGGGUCCGGUAAGGACAAAGGAAAAGGAAAGAUGGAGUAAAAGAUAGUUGUAACUAUCUAUAAUAAUUAGAAGUAUUGUAAUAAUUACCUUAUACAUUAUCAUGUGAUGAAGACUUAAAGGUUUGAGAACCUGGGAUUAAUUAUAGUAAGACGUAUUGUAAUACUUAGUAGUUGCAUUUAUAUCGUUAUUAUUAUGUUAGAUGAGAAGUACCGUGGAGAACCAUAUUUAAAGGUACUCGGGUUUGGGGGCGUCACAAAUACUCCCUC